RNAcentral lists this ribosomal RNA (1338 nucleotides) under uncultured bacterium. Its description in RNAcentral is "bacterial SSU rRNA". It matches the Rfam family "Bacterial small subunit ribosomal RNA", at positions 28 to 1387 of the family's 1533-position model. The record is from RNAcentral.
GACGAACGCUGGCGGCGCGCCUAACACAUGCAAGUCGAACGAGCGAGAGAGAGCUUGCUUUCUCGAGCGAGUGGCGAACGGGUGAGUAACGCGUGAGGAACCUGCCUCAAAGAGGGGGACAACAGUUGGAAACGACUGCUAAUACCGCAUAAGCCCACGGCUCGGCAUCGAGCAGAGGGAAAAGGAGCAAUCCGCUUUGAGAUGGCCUCGCGUCCGAUUAGCUAGUUGGUGAGGUAACGGCCCACCAAGGCAACGAUCGGUAGCCGGACUGAGAGGUUGAACGGCCACAUUGGGACUGAGACACGGCCCAGACUCCUACGGGAGGCAGCAGUGGGGAAUAUUGCACAAUGGGGGAAACCCUGAUGCAGCGACGCCGCGUGGAGGAAGAAGGUCUUCGGAUUGUAAACUCCUGUUGUUGAGGAAGAUAAUGACGGUACUCAACAAGGAAGUGACGGCUAACUACGUGCCAGCAGCCGCGGUAAAACGUAGGUCACAAGCGUUGUCCGGAAUUACUGGGUGUAAAGGGAGCGCAGGCGGGAAGACAAGUUGGAAGUGAAAUCUAUGGGCUCAACCCAUAAACUGCUUUCAAAACUGUUUUUCUUGAGUAGUGCAGAGGUAGGCGGAAUUCCCGGUGUAGCGGUGGAAUGCGUAGAUAUCGGGAGGAACACCAGUGGCGAAGGCGGCCUACUGGGCACCAACUGACGCUGAGGCUCGAAAGUGUGGGUAGCAAACAGGAUUAGAUACCCUGGUAGUCCACACCGUAAACGAUGAUUACUAGGUGUUGGAGGAUUGACCCCUUCAGUGCCGCAGUUAACACAAUAAGUAAUCCACCUGGGGAGUACGACCGCAAGGUUGAAACUCAAAGGAAUUGACGGGGGCCCGCACAAGCAGUGGAGUAUGUGGUUUAAUUCGACGCAACGCGAAGAACCUUACCAAGUCUUGACAUCCUGCGACGCACAUAGAAAUAUGUGUUUCCUUCGGGACGCAGAGACAGGUGGUGCAUGGUUGUCGUCAGCUCGUGUCGUGAGAUGUUGGGUUAAGUCCCGCAACGAGCGCAACCCUUACUGUCAGUUACUACGCAAGAGGACUCUGGCAGGACUGCCGUUGACAAAACGGAGGAAGGUGGGGAGGACGUCAAAUCAUCAUGCCCUUUAUGACUUGGGCUACACACGUACUACAAUGGCGUUAAACAAAGAGAAGCAAGACCGCGAGGUGGAGCAAAACUCAGAAACAACGUCCCAGUUCGGACUGCAGGCUGCAACUCGCCUGCACGAAGUCGGAAUUGCUAGUAAUCGUGGAUCAGCAUGCCACGGUGAAUACGUUCCCGGGCCUUGUACU